Molecule: ribosomal RNA, 327 nt
Filed under: uncultured eukaryote
Lineage: Eukaryota
Description: partial 18S ribosomal RNA
Rfam family: Eukaryotic small subunit ribosomal RNA
Source: RNAcentral
CCCUUAGAUGUUCUGGGCCGCACGCGCGCUACACUGACGAAUGCAACGAGCUUAUAACCUUGGCCGAAAGGUCUGGGUAAUCUCCAAAUUUCGUCGUGAUGGGGAUAGAUUAUUGCAAUUAUUAAUCUUCAACGAGGAAUGCCUAGUAAGCGCAAGUCAUCAGCUUUCGUUGAUUACGUCCCUGCCCUUUGUACACACCGCCCGUCGCUCCUACCGAUUGAAUGGUCCGGUGAAGCGUUCGGACCGUGGCCUUUGGACGGUUCGCCGUCUGUUGGCUGCGGGAAGUUCGUUAAACCUUAUCAUUUAGAGGAAGGAGAAGUCGUAACA